CAUUGGUCUUGGUCCAGUAGAGGGCGGCGUUGUUGUUGAGGUAGAUGACGCCGGCGGUCGUGGUGCCCAUGUAGGUGCCGUGAACGCUCUUCAAAGUCCACUGGUCGCCGGGGUUGAUGAUCACGUCCCACUGCUCCCACGAACCGACCGAGGUGGCCUCGGCACGCACCCACCCGCCCGGAUCGGCUCCGAGGUAGCGAUUGUUGAACCCCUUGAAGGUGUACUUGCCGUUGGACAAUCGACUCACCGCCCACUUUUCCUUGUACGAGGCGCCGUACCACAGCGAGGCCACGCUGCCGUCCUCCUGGGGCGUCAACUGCUUGCCGCUGAUGGGCGACACCAGCGUCACCAACUGCGUCAGAGGCUGCGCCGACGGCGUGGGCGUCCUUGAAGGCGAGGGCGUCCUCGACGACGUGGGCGACGGCGGCGGUGUGCUAGAGGGCGUGGGCGCCACCGGAUGGUUGUACUCGAUGAUGACGCCGCCGUCGGCGCCCGGCGCGUUCAUGGCGUUGGCGCCGAUGGGCGGGCACGAUCUGCCCGAGCCGCCACCCGAGCCGCUGUUGGCCGGCGGGGGCUGACGUCCUUCCGCGGUGCGAUAGCCGUAUCCGCCAUUGCCGUUGAAGCCGGCGGCGCCGCCCCACGUAAAGCAAUCCAUAUAGAUGCCGCUCACGGUGCCCUGACCGCCGCCCCAGUUGCGUCCGGGCGACGUCCACCCGGCGCCGUUGAUAUAGGGCUGGCCGGGGUCGCCGCCGACGUGGCCAUAGCCCGAGCCGGCGCCGCCCGCCUUGACGUCGCCCACGAGGGCGCCCUGGGACGGACCCGAGAGCGCAUUGGUGUCGGCGGCGCCCGGAGGGUUGCCUGUGCCGGGCGUCGUGCCGCCCGCCGACGAGGCAGCGCCGCCGCCGGCACCGCCGCGGCAAGUGUCCCACUCGUAAAAGGCCGCCCACGCGCCGCCGCCGCCAUAGGCCGUGGCGCGGAACAACUCGGUGCCAUCGGGUCCCACGGCCACGACCGAGGUCUGGCCGCCGUCGCCGCCAGAGCCGCCGUCGUAAUUGUCGUCGCUGAGCGUCGUGCCGCCCUUGCCCACGGUGACGAUCCACUGGACGUCGCUCGGUGCGACGGUCCAUUGGGCGUCGCCCACCGUGCGAUUGAGGACGGCCGAGCCGCUGCCGCCGCCGGCGCCGCAGCGAAAGGACGACGCAGACCCGCCGCCGCCGCCCCAGAGCGAGGUCGAGAUGCCGGUGGCGCCCACCGGCGCGGUCCAGUUGGUCGACGCACCCAGAAAGACCGUGUAGCGGUAGGCAUCGAUCGGCGCGGCCAUGCAGCACAAAAGGGCCGCGAGCGCCACGGCGGCCUUGCAAGCCAUGGACGUCAUCUUUGGCGGGCGCGAGACGGCGUGCACGAGCGCUGCGAGCAUGCAAGACGAGUGCGUGCGCUUGGGUUUGCCCGUGGACGUCCUUGGCGACGGGUGGUUUAUUGUAGGGAGCACGACGGCCGACGACCGUUGUCUUGCGGUGUGUGUGUGUGCCGCGAGGGUUGAGCCAAAAAUACGACGGCACAGCAGCCGCCUUUUUGUCAUGAGCCCGACGCGCGCGGGCCGAAAAAAGGCGCACCCAACCUUUUGGCGGUGAUCGCGUGAUCUCUGUGGUCUCUGUUUUGGCUGCCCCGUUCUUUUUUUUGUUGUCCAAUGCGUGUGCGCCUUGAUGAGAAAAACGGAAACGGACGGCCGAGAGAAAAACGGGGGGAGGCCAGACCCUUGGGGUUCGCCGGGACAGCCGGCGGCGCCGACCUACGAAAAAAAAAAGACUCGAAAAAGGGGACAAAGGUGGAAAGAAAGAGCAACGAGAAAAAAAAAGACAAAAAUGCCAAAAGACACGCCGCGUCGUCAGUAUCGUGACGAAUUUCCGGCGCCGGGCCCGCAUGCCUGAAUGAAUCGCAGCCCAUGCCGGCGACCGCGAUUUCUGCCAUUGCCCAUGUUGGUUAUCAUAGUGAAUAAAUAAAAUAAAUA
This 2008-nucleotide long non-coding RNA is filed under the name Pandoravirus dulcis. Its description in RNAcentral is "putative ncRNA". The record is from RNAcentral.